Molecule: long non-coding RNA, 3345 nt
Organism: Mustela putorius furo (domestic ferret)
Lineage: Eukaryota; Metazoa; Chordata; Mammalia; Carnivora; Mustelidae
Source: Ensembl
AGCAUCUCUUCCAGUCAAGGUGCUGGUAACAGAGUUCCUAACUUCACCGCCAGGAAGAGUUCAAGUUACUUUAGGAAAUUUACUUAGCCCGCCUUGGGUGAUUAUGACUUUUCUCAGGCACGAAGGAGGCGGAGGCAACAGAUCCUGGAUUAGCUCAGCCUUCCCUUUAUUGGAACACUCCUCAAUGUGGAAUCUACCACCAACAGUUGCUGAAGGUUUGCGUCCAAACAACACAGCAGACCUGCACAGUGAGGCUGACUUCGCUAGAUGUAGUCAGUCCAGGACAGUGAGUACCGUAUCUGUCUCCUGUAAUCCUCUUCUCCAGCCCGGAAGCAGCCAAUAUGCAUUCCAGAGGAGCCAAAGAAUACGACUGCAUAUCUUCUGCUGGAGCCAGGAGUGCCUGACUGCUCGAGCUGGGAAUGGUGAUGAAAUACUAACCUUUUCCCGGGAAAGCGGAGACACUGGGAAAAGGACAAGAGCCAGUGGAAAUACCAAAAAAAGAGAAAACCAGGAAGAAUAAAGGAGACCAACAGCAAAAACAGUGCAGAUAAAAAUUGUGGCAUACAAGGCAAGCAGCAAGUCCUCUGACAGCUGAGGAGAGAAAAGGCAAUCAACUUAGAGUGGUUCUUUUAUGUGGAAAGGGGGUCACACCGCCUCCAAGACCUCAGAAGGGUAUCAGUGAAAGCAUCCACUUAGGUAUUCAUUCAUUCGUUCAUUCAUUAUUCAGUUGUUCAUUCAUCCAACAAAGAGUGAGUUCUCACUCUGGGAAUCCUAAACUUGGUUUUCUUCCAAACUCCCACUUCUUCUAUUCUAAUGGACCAAGGCUCUUAGGUUCCUGGAUGUGCUGUAGCAAAAAGAGUGUCACUACUUUUUCUGACCUUAUAUACUAAGGAGUAUGAUGUCUGGCACAGAAAACACAGAUGAACACUAUUAUUUUUAUGAGAAGUAAGGACGAAUGCCUACCAAAGACAAGAAUGCUAUCUCUAACAUUCCCAAUCUUUGGGGACCAUAAAUCCCCAUCCCCAUCUCUAGAUAGAAAAUAAACCCUGAACAAGCAAGGCAGAAUCCCAAAAUCCACUAAGAAAACUGUGCUUUGACUCCUGAAUUUCUAGACUGGGUGGAUUUGAGAAUCAGGGUAGUUCAGUCAGUUCAAGCCAGUUAUAGAAAAAAAAAAAUACCGUUUUUGCAUACUAGAUUUGUGGUUCAAGAAACUUACAUUCCUAUGUUUGUUUGGAAAUAAAUUUUGAGGGAAAACUCAUUCCCAGAAUUUUCUAGUUAAAAUUUAUAGCAAGUUAUGGGACCUCUAUUUAACAGCAACAAAAAUGGUAUUAUAGUCCCAUAAAUAUAAUUUAGUACUUUCUUGCUUUUGAAAAAAUAACUUAUUUUAGAUUCAGAGGCUCAUAGUCAAGUCUGACAAUUAAAAUAGAUUUUUCAAAAAACCAUAUUAAAAUCCCAUAGUUUUAAAUUUAGUUUUACAAUGUUCAGAUGGCAAUGUGAAUAGAAAUGGUAACUCAAUUACUUUUCAAAUAAGUACCUUGAUGAAUAUAUUCAUUUUCUCCUGACAGGGAAUUAUUAUUGCCUUAAAUUUAAUCUUAGUUCUGCACACGCUGCAGGGAUUUUCAUGGCUAAACUGUUUUAAAUUAUCUUAUGAUUCAUCUACCUUGAAAUAUGAAUGCACUCUACCCACAAUAAGGCAGAAUAAUAUGUAGUAGAUGGUAGAUUAUCUUAAAUUUGAUUUCGUAGAAAUAUUUUAUUAAAACAUUUCUCUUACGUGGCUAAAAAUCAUGUCCCUGGAUUUACUUCGCAGGCAGAAUUGAGAGACUGGGCCGAGCUGGGAGUGUGGGCAUAGGUUCGCUCAUUGAACACAAACAGAGUUAAGCAGAUAAAGGAGGAAGACCAGAAGCUCUGCUAAAACAAAGAAGAGCCAAUCUGCCUUCAAGUCUAGAAGAUAGGGAAAGGAGGGAAAGACCAGUCUGUAUUCUCUAAGGACAGGACUGGGGCGCCUGGUUCCAGGGUAGAUAUUGUUGCUCUCUGUUCUGGUUGGAAAUAACCUGUGGACAGAAGGUAAGGGAGAACAGAAUCUAGACUGUAGCAAAAAUAGAUCAGAAGUCUACAGGUAAAACUGACUAUAUGAGUCCAAUACAAAAAGGCUACACUUGCCUUAGCCUCACACAUAUUAUGAAUAUGUAUACUAUCAAAUUCCAAAAAUUACUCCAAAAUUCAGUUCCAAUGUUGUGUAUACUUAUCUCUAGUUAAACAUGGUACAGAUGGGCAGAUACAAGAACUGGAAGGUAUAAAGGCACCUGUUAGGUAAGAAAGGCAACUGUUAUCAACUUAAUUUGGCCCAGUGGACCCAUUUUCCUCCAGCAAGGGAUUGGAUGAUCUGAGUUGUAUUCAUGCACAUUAUAAACCAGGGAACAAGCCUGGAAAGGCAAAGUUCCUUUCCCACACAGGCCAGUGUAGCUGUAAAUUUGAAAUUCACAAUGAAAUGUGGCUUUGGAAAGAUUGAUUUCCCCAUGCAGUAUUUUACAAUUUGUUUUGUGAGGGGGUUCCUUGUAGCUCAGUGAAUGAACCUAGCAUUCAAGUCUUGGUUUUGGCUCGGAUCAUGAUCUCAGGGUUGUGGGAUGAACCCCACAUGGGUUUCUGCACUCAUUGUGGAGUCUGCUGGAGAUUCUCUCUCUCUCCCUCUCCCUCCCCCUCCUUCCCUCCCCCUACUUACACACGUACUCUCUCUCAGAUAGAUAAAUCUUUGAAGAUUCUGUUUUAUGAGAAGAGUGCCCAAGGUAACAGAAGAUAGUGUUACAAGUUUGAAGUCCAAUCAGCCUCAAAGUACUUCAGCUAAGAACAGAUAGCUUUCCUGCAGCUUAGAAAGGCAGGCAAAAUCAUGCAAACUCUUAUUAUCAUUAACAAUUGCAUUUGUGCCCAAAGCGGGGGAAGCAUUUACUUAGAAAGAACAGUAAAAGGUGGGUUUUUAAAAGACAUUACUUCAUUGGAGGAAAUCUGUAUUCACUGCCAUUUUUUACCCCAUCUUGAGUUAAAUAAUCCUGCUCUCUUGCCUAAGAGCAGUCUUGAAGACACACACAAAAAUACAGACGUGCUCCCAGAGUUAAUUACCUAGUCUUCUGAAAAUUUAUUUUUCUCACCUAUAAAAUGCAAGUAAUAAUAUCAACCUCUAAAGUCUGUUGUGAGAACAAAUGAGAUGAUCAUGCAAUGUAUUUAGCAGACUGGCCAUCUAGAAGGUGGUAAAGGUCAAUAAAAGAUUGUACAUUGAUGCAAAUCAAUACUGUGCAUUUUUUCAAUAGACCCCUCGAGUAUGUAAACAGAUAUUGAUGAAGUAGUCAGCAG